RNAcentral lists this ribosomal RNA (497 nucleotides) under uncultured bacterium. RNAcentral describes it as "partial 16S ribosomal RNA". It matches the Rfam family "Bacterial small subunit ribosomal RNA", at positions 28 to 507 of the family's 1533-position model. The record is from RNAcentral.
GAUGAACGCUGGCGGCGUGCCUAAUACAUGCAAGUCGAGCGAACAGACGAGGAGCUUGCUCCUCUGACGUUAGCGGCGGACGGGUGAGUAACACGUGGAUAACCUCCCUAUAAGACUGGGAUAACUUCGGGAAACCGGAGCUAAUACCGGAUAAUAUAUUGAACCGCAUGGUUCAAUAGUGAAAUACGGCUUUGCUGUCACUUAUAGAUGGAUCCGCGCCGCAUUAGCUAGUUGGUAAGGUAACGGCUUACCAAGGCGACGAUGCGUAGCCGACCUGAGAGGGUGGUCGGCCACACUGGAGCUGAGACACGGUCCAGACUCCUACGGGAGGCAGCAGUAGGGAAUCUUCCGCAAUGGGCGAAAGCCUGACGGAGCGACGCCGCGUGAGUGAUGAAGGUCUUCGGAUCGUAAAACUCUGUUAUUAGGGAAGAACAAAUGUGUAAGUAACUAUGCACGUCUUGACGGUACCUAAUCAGAAAGCCACGGCUAACUACGUG